AGAAUUAAACUGAAGAGUUUGAUCCUGGCUCAGAUUGAACGCUGGUGGCAUGCUUAACACAUGCAAGUCGAACGGUAACAGGUCUUAGGAUGCUGACGAGUGGCGGACGGGUGAGUAACGCGUAGGAAUCUGCCCAUUUGAGGGGGAUACCAGUUGGAAACGACUGUUAAUACCGCAUAAUAUCUGUGGAUUAAAGGUGGCUUUCGGGCUGUCGCAGAUGGAUGAGCCUGCGUUGGAUUAGCUAGUUGGUGGGGUAAGGGCCCACCAAGGCUACGAUCCAUAGCUGAUUUGAGAGGAUGAUCAGCCACAUUGGGACUGAGACACGGCCCAAACUCCUACGGGAGGCAGCAGUGGGGAAUAUUGGACAAUGGGGGCAACCCUGAUCCAGCAAUGCCAUGUGUGUGAAGAAGGCCCUAGGGUUGUAAAGCA
Molecule: ribosomal RNA, 429 nt
Filed under: Francisella tularensis
Lineage: Bacteria; Pseudomonadati; Pseudomonadota; Gammaproteobacteria; Thiotrichales; Francisellaceae
Description: bacterial SSU rRNA
Rfam family: Bacterial small subunit ribosomal RNA
Source: RNAcentral